AGGACGACGCUGGCGGCGUGCUUAACACAUGCAAGUCGAACGGUGAAGGGGAGCUUGCUCCCCGGAUCAGUGGCGAACGGGUGAGUAACACGUGGGCAACCUGCCCCAGACUUCGGGAUAACGCUUCGAAAGAGGUGCUAAUACCGGAUACGAACUCCUUGGGCAUCCCGGGAGUUGGAAAGUUUUUCGGUCUGGGAUGGGCCCGCGGCCUAUCAGCUUGUUGGUGAGGUAACGGCUCACCAAGGCGACGACGGGUAGCCGGCCUGAGAGGGCGACCGGCCAUACUGGGACUGAGACACGGCCCAGACUCCUACGGGAGGCAGCAGUGGGGAAUAUUGCGCAAUGGCGAAAGCCUGACGCAGCAACGCCGCGUGAGGGAUGACGGCCUUCGGGUUGUAAACCUCUUUCAGCAGGGAAGAAGCGAAAGUGACGGUACCUGCAGAAGAAGCACCGGCUAACUACGUG
RNAcentral lists this ribosomal RNA (465 nucleotides) under uncultured bacterium. Its description in RNAcentral is "bacterial SSU rRNA". It matches the Rfam family "Bacterial small subunit ribosomal RNA", at positions 33 to 507 of the family's 1533-position model. The record is from RNAcentral.